This 332-nucleotide long non-coding RNA is filed under the name Homo sapiens (human). RNAcentral describes it as "non-protein coding TMSB15B-AS1:13". Lineage: Eukaryota; Metazoa; Chordata; Mammalia; Primates; Hominidae. The record is from RNAcentral.
GCUCUUUUGUCUCAAUGGGCAGAGACUGAAAGCAACCGCGGCUGCCCGGAGGUCCGAACUGGAGGGUGGCCGCAGCCGUGACUUCCUUGGGAACCGCGCUGCCUCGACUCGGCUACCUCUCUGCGAAGCACUCGCUAAGCCGGGCAGCCCCGGGGUCGCUUAGCGGCCCAGGAGGCGCCAGCGAUCCUGUUCCCCUGCAGAGCUAUGGGGACCGGAAGGCGAAACAGAGCUGUCGACGCGGGAGCAUACGCUGCCCACCAGUGGAGCGCAGCACCUUCACCAAGAGUAGAUGCCAUCUCAAGAAGCUACUUUGCUCAUCCAUAAGAAACCAC